GGAGUGGAGGAGUUUGCUGGGUCUCAGCCCAGGGGGCCAGCGAGCUCCAGGCUCCCUAGAGCCCAGCCCCUGGCCAAUCAGUGUCCACCUUGGCCAUGUGUCCCCAGCCCCCUAAAGCCAUAAAGGGGGACUCCCUGACAGCCCCCACCCCACAGAGCUUGGGGUGUUUCUCUUAAAGAUCCAGCUCCUGGAGUCCCAUGAUUUUUGCAAGACUCCCUAUUUGCAUGUCAUGCCCAGCCCUUACAGUUGUGCACACUCAAAGUUGUGACCCCCGCCCCACCCCUGGUCUCAGACACCUGAAAGCAGGGGAAACAAACUGAACUGGGUGGAUUUGAACCCAACAACUCAGGAUUUUUAGGCCAGUCUCAGGAUUUGGGAGACCUGGAUUCAUGUCGUUUGGACAGUCGAGGCUUAUGAUGCUGCGGACCCAAAGCCCAAUCAUUGAUUCUGGCUGGUCAGCACCCAAUCUGGUCAUCCCCACCGUGUCAAUAGCACAAUUAAGCACAUGGAGAAUUCCCUGCCCCUGUCCCAAAAUCUGAUUGCUGGGCAUAUUAUGUCAGUGCCCAUGCCCAGGGAGCACACUUUCCCCCUUCCAGACCCGCAGUCCCACGACUUAAUGCGCAUGGCUCUUUGAGACUCUGAGAGGAAGGAUCAGAAGCAAUGUUCCAUCUAAAUUUUUCUAUACAGCAAGAUUGGCAAGAACAGCAGAGGAGACCAAGAAUGAAGGAAAGGAAUGAAGGAGAAAAGAAGACAGAAAACCCACAAUGAGGGCAGGGAAGACAGAGCCAAAACAGGAAAAAAGCAAGAAAAAAGAUAAUAUGAUUGAUCUUGCAGUGACUGAUCCUUCAUUAGCACUCCAGCUUUCUUCCCAGCUUCAUCAUAGUCCUUUAGGCUUAUCUACAAAUCAAAGUGAGCCUUCAGAUCACUUCACAAGCAUGGGUGCUUAUAUAACAGGGAACAGAAGAGAAGCUGAAAGGAAAUUCCAGUUCAGCCUGGCCUGCCUUUUGGAUGAAUGCUUAUAUAAGGAACCUGGAAUCACAGGAGCAGUGACAAUGGAAAUAAUUUUGGAAAUGGUAGAGCUGAACUGGAAGGAAAAGUCAAGUGAAAGAAAUUGAACAAGUUGUAU
Non-coding RNA from Pelodiscus sinensis (Chinese soft-shelled turtle), 1126 nucleotides. Lineage: Eukaryota; Metazoa; Chordata; Testudines; Trionychidae. The record is from RefSeq and is a predicted model, not a curated record.